This 592-nucleotide long non-coding RNA is filed under the name Triticum aestivum (bread wheat). Its description in RNAcentral is "long non-coding RNA (TAES_LNC026140)". Lineage: Eukaryota; Viridiplantae; Streptophyta; Magnoliopsida; Poales; Poaceae. The record is from RNAcentral.
CAGAUUAAUGUACUCGCUCCUUUUCCGCUAAAAGGGCGAACUACCGAUUCGUAAGUUACAGGGUGGGAUAAAGAACAGAAAAUGUGUACACAAGUUGCAGGACGCACCACCAAUGUGAUUGCUCCAUCAGAUCUGAAUCUGAUACAUGAGUUCCCUGAUUAAUGCUGGUUGGUCCUAAUGGUGAGAUUUGUUGACAACUAAUCUGGAUAUAAGAGGCGUGAGAUGCGUAAAUGAAAGAUGUAUUGUUAUGAUGGUAAACUGUAGAGCAGAUGGGAUUCGAGGGAGCACCUGCUUGAUUACUGUAUAAUGGUAAAUUGUACAGCAGAUGGGAUUCGAGGGUGCACCGGCUUGAUGUGGCAGAAUUUUGGCAGGAGGAUGACGCCGGCCUGGACCCGGCUUGCGGACGUUGAGGACGACGCCAAGAGAGGUGCGGCCUGGGGACGAGGAGGACAAGGGAAGCCGGCCGGGCACUGACUGGUGAGGUCGUCGACGGAGGAGACCAGACGUAGCCGGCAGAGCGCACCGCUCGGGGUGAGGCUUGGAGCCGCCGCAGAUUGGAUAUGGUGGGUUGAAGAAAUUGGGAGCGGAAAAG